UCUCGAAUCUUUGAACGCACCUUGCGCUCCUUGGUAUUCCGAGGAGCAUGCCUGUUUGAGUGUCA
This 65-nucleotide ribosomal RNA is filed under the name Laccaria bicolor S238N-H82. Its description in RNAcentral is "5.8S ribosomal RNA". It matches the Rfam family "5.8S ribosomal RNA", at positions 90 to 154 of the family's 154-position model. Rfam says of the family: 5.8S ribosomal RNA (5.8S rRNA) is a component of the large subunit of the eukaryotic ribosome. Lineage: Eukaryota; Fungi; Basidiomycota; Agaricomycetes; Agaricales; Hydnangiaceae. The record is from Rfam by way of RNAcentral.